GACGAACGCUGGCGGCGUGCUUAACACAUGCAAGUCGAACGGAAAGGCCCUGCUUUUGUGGGGUGCUCGAGUGGCGAACGGGUGAGUAACACGUGAGUAACCUGCCCUUGACUUUGGGAUAACUUCAGGAAACUGGGGCUAAUACCGGAUAGGAGCUCCUGCUGCAUGGUGGGGGUUGGAAAGUUUCGGCGGUUGGGGAUGGACUCGCGGCUUAUCAGCUUGUUGGUGGGGUAGUGGCUUACCAAGGCUUUGACGGGUAGCCGGCCUGAGAGGGUGACAGGCCACAUUGGGACUGGGAUACGGCCCAGACUGCUACGGGAGGCAGCAGUGGGGAAUAUUGCACAAUGGGCGGAAGCCGGAUGCAGCAACGCCGCGUGCGGGAUGACGGCCUUCGGGUUGUAAACCGCUUUCGCCUGUGACGAAGCGUGAGUGACGGUAAUGGGUAAAGAAGCACCGGCUAACUACGUG
RNAcentral lists this ribosomal RNA (468 nucleotides) under uncultured bacterium. RNAcentral describes it as "partial 16S ribosomal RNA". It matches the Rfam family "Bacterial small subunit ribosomal RNA", at positions 28 to 507 of the family's 1533-position model. The record is from RNAcentral.